AGUGAACGCUGGCGGUAGGCCUAACACAUGCAAGUCGAACGGCAACACAGUAAGAGUGUGCUCUUACCGGUGGCGGGUGGCGGGCGGGUGACGAAUACAUCGGAAUCUUCUCUUUCGUGGGGGAUAACGUAGGGAAACUUACGAUAAGACCGCAUAUCAUCCACCGGGGAGAGCAGUGGAUAGUUGCACCUUUCGCGAUUGAAUUAGCCGAUGACGGAUUAGCUAGUUGGCGGGGUAAAGGCCCACCAAGGCGACGGUCCGUAGCUCGUCUGAGAGGAUGGUCAGCCAACCUGGAAGUGGACCACGGUCCAGGCGCCUGAGGGAAGGAGCAGUGGGGAAUAUUGGGCAAUGGGCGGAAGCCUGAUCCAACCAUACCGCGUGGGUUGAGAAGGCCUUCGGGUUGGGAAGACCUUUUGUUGGGAGAGAAAAGCAGCAGGUUGAUACGACGCGGUUCUGACGGUAACCGAAGAAUAAGCACCGGCUAACCUCGUG
RNAcentral lists this ribosomal RNA (492 nucleotides) under uncultured bacterium. RNAcentral describes it as "partial 16S ribosomal RNA". It matches the Rfam family "Bacterial small subunit ribosomal RNA", at positions 29 to 507 of the family's 1533-position model. The record is from RNAcentral.